GGUCCGCUGGCGUAAUGGCAGCGCGUCUGAAUACGAAUCAGGAGGUUCCAGGUUUGACCCCUGGGCGGAUCG
RNAcentral lists this transfer RNA (72 nucleotides) under Podospora anserina S mat+. RNAcentral's name for it is "tRNA-Arg (ACG) (tRNA-Arg-ACG-3-1)". It matches the Rfam family "tRNA". From Rfam's summary of the family: Transfer RNA (tRNA) molecules are approximately 80 nucleotides in length. Their secondary structure includes four short double-helical elements and three loops (D, anti-codon, and T loops). Further hydrogen bonds mediate the characteristic L-shaped molecular structure. tRNAs have two regions of fundamental functional importance: the anti-codon, which is responsible for specific mRNA codon recognition, and the 3' end, to which the tRNAs corresponding amino acid is attached (by aminoacyl-tRNA synthetases). tRNAs cope with the degeneracy of the genetic code in two manners: having more than one tRNA (with a specific anti-codon) for a particular amino acid; and 'wobble' base-pairing, i.e. permitting non-standard base-pairing at the 3rd anti-codon position. The record is from RNAcentral. Lineage: Eukaryota; Fungi; Ascomycota; Sordariomycetes; Sordariales; Podosporaceae.